Felis catus (domestic cat) is the source of this 1065-nucleotide RNA transcript. It is a transcript of the gene named U2 small nuclear RNA auxiliary factor 1 like 4, with no coding region annotated. The transcript is spliced from 9 exons. The record is from RefSeq and is a predicted model, not a curated record. Lineage: Eukaryota; Metazoa; Chordata; Mammalia; Carnivora; Felidae.
GCAGACGGUCUAGGCGCGCGUGCGGUGGAGGGAGGCAGCGACAAACUACACUUCCCAAUGCUCUAAAGCAACGGAAAUGACGUAAAGAGCCGACUGAGUUGGAGGGUUCGAGUAAAAAUGGCUGAAUAUUUAGCUUCGAUAUUCGGGACUGAGAAGGACAAGGUUAACUGCUCUUUUUACUUUAAGAUCGGGGCCUGCCGGCACGGGGACCGGUGCUCCCGGCUUCACAACAAACCGACUUUCAGCCAGACCAUAGUGCUGCUCAACCUGUACCGGAAUCCACAGAACACCGCCCAAACCGCAGACGGAUCACACUGUCACGUGAGCGACGUGGAGGUGCAAGAACACUAUGAUAACUUCUUCGAGGAGGUGUUCACGGAGCUGCAGGAGAAGUACGGGGAGAUUGAAGAGAUGAAUGUGUGCGACAACCUGGGGGACCACCUCGUGGGCAAUGUCUACGUCAAGGUGUCUGCUUUCCCCCCAAUAGAGCCUACAGGUGGAGGCAUUUCAGUGUCACCACUGAAGCCUCACAGCUUGAGUUUCGGCGUGAGGAGGAUGCAGAGCGGGCAGUGGCUGAACUCAAUAACCGCUGGUUCAAUGGGCAGGCAGUGCAUGCUGAGCUGUCUCCUGUCACCGACUUCCGGGAGUCGUGCUGUCGGCAAUACGAGAUGGGGGAAUGUACCCGGGGUGGCUUCUGCAACUUCAUGCACCUUCGGCCCAUCUCCCGGAAUCUUCGACGUCAGCUGUAUGGGCGAGGACCCAGGCGCAGAUCCUAAGACUAGUUCUGAGCAUCAUCCCAGGACCAGCGCCUAAAUCUCAACCCCAAAACCAGCUGGAACUCCAAACCCCCAAACCCAAGACCAGUCUGGAUCUCCAAUCCAGAGAUCAGUGCCUGAGCACCUGUCCUGAUACCACUCAGUAACUGGUCACCCCCAAGGUCCCAUACUGGUCACCGCCCCCGAGAAAGAAACCGAAGACGUUCCCCAGACCACCGGCAUGGCCGCUUCUGAGACCCUGGCUCCCUUGACCUCCACCCCUGACAGGCAUAAAUGUUCCUGGCCAGAA